UGGUGAUAACCGGGUGUUAUACUGCAAAUAGCCUGAAAUACUGUAGGGCAACCUUCCAUCGGCGACAUAGGCACAAGCCUAGUCCAUCUAUGAAAAGAACCGCUAAGAAAUACACUUCGACCCCCAUGAGGCCACACAAACCGCAUUAAUACUGUGCCCGCAACUCCACCACCAGCUUCUCUGGCAGAAUCCAUACCCGGUACAAACAUUAUUUCUCCCCAAUUUUAUAAAUAAUUUCCCAAAAAUCCCUUCCAAGUAAGCUCCUUCAGUUCAUUCACUACACACAAAAUUGUACCGCUAGAAACCCUAGAAACCAAUCGAAGAAGCGAGUCUUAGCUCCCAAAUUAGGAAUAUGAAAAUCUAAUGAAAAAUGGGCGUGAACUUG
This 385-nucleotide unclassified non-coding RNA is filed under the name Hevea brasiliensis (rubber tree). The record is from RNAcentral. Lineage: Eukaryota; Viridiplantae; Streptophyta; Magnoliopsida; Malpighiales; Euphorbiaceae.